CAAUACAACUGGUGGCGACCGGCGCACGGGUGAGUAACGCGUAUGCCAACCCACCUAUCAGGAAGGGGAAUAACCCGGCGAAAGUCGGACUAAUACCGCAUAAAACAGGGGCACCGCAUGGUGAUAUUUGUUAAAGAAGUUCGCUGAUAGAUGGGCAUGCGUUCCAUUAGGUAGUUGGUGAGGUAACGGCUCACCAAGCCGACGAUGGAUAGGGGAACUGAGAGGUUGGUCCCCCACACUGGUACUGAGACACGGACCAGACUCCUACGGGAGGCAGCAGUGAGGAAUAUUGGUCAAUGGGCGAGAGCCUGAACCAGCCAAGUCCGCGUGAAGGAAGAAGGAUCUAUGGUUCGUAAACUUCUUUUGCAGGGGAAUAAAGUGCGGGACGUGUCCUGUUUUGUAUGUACCCUGAGAAUAAGGAUCGGCUAACUCCGUGCCAGCCGCAGC
This 447-nucleotide ribosomal RNA is filed under the name uncultured bacterium. RNAcentral describes it as "bacterial SSU rRNA". It matches the Rfam family "Bacterial small subunit ribosomal RNA", at positions 75 to 518 of the family's 1533-position model. The record is from RNAcentral.